This is a non-coding RNA of Nicotiana tabacum (common tobacco), 1185 nucleotides long. Lineage: Eukaryota; Viridiplantae; Streptophyta; Magnoliopsida; Solanales; Solanaceae. The record is from RefSeq and is a predicted model, not a curated record.
AUAAAAGCCAACCUAAAACGCCUACAACCACACACUCUAUUAAACACUGAUCCACCAUUUCUGAAAAUGGCAAUACACAUUGACAACUAAAAAACCUUACAGAUCUGCCGUUCUUCAGAAAAAUACACAACAAAAUCAUAAUAGAAAAAUGAGAGCCGAAGACUUCUAGAAAAAGAUUCGCAGUUUCCUAAUCAAAGAAGAACCCCCUCCCCCGUCGAAUUCUGGGCUUCUCUUUCACAAUUCAAGAGCUAGCUUCAUCUUCUAAAAGAGAAAACAAAAAAGAAAGCAGCCAUCAUCUCCCAACAUUUAGACCUAGCGGAACGACACUAGCAGAAAACGCAGCAAAAGAUCUAGCAAACCGCAGCAGCUCCGGCUUGUCCAUCCCAUUCUGGAAAUCGGUUUUGAAUCCAUGUAAAUUUAUCUUCGCUAGGUCACUGGUUUUCCCGACGUUUCGCUGGAGUUGCGCCAUCUCCGACCAGCUAUUUCACUAUAAAACAUAGCAGCUUCAGUUUCUUUAACCGUUGUUGGUCUCUUAAGUUGAGCCCAGCCCGUCAAGGUCGUCGAGGUCUCCGACAAGUUGUUUAUUUGAAUUUCCGUUACCGAGCUUCGUUUUUUUAAAAGAACUUCUGAGUUCGUAGAGUGCAUUUAGAAUCCAAGAUGUAACCAUAUUGUUGACACAGCUCCACUGCUCAUAUUCAGCUGAGUUCAGAUCUGGAGCCUUGCAAGUCUCAUUGAUGAAUCCAAGUUUCUUCUUGGCUGAUAUGGAUAGAAGAAUGGAUCUCUUAGAUCCUGGAUAACCUCUUCCAUCAAACACAGUGUUGACUAGGGUCAUCCCAGGUGAAUCUGAGUUGUUAAGAUGAUAUGGGUGAUUAAUGCCAUAUCCUGCUGCCUUAGGAGUGUUCCCAAUAUCUGCAGCUAUGGUUUCAUCAGUUGUAGGCAUCUUCCUUCACUUGGAGUUGUAGGAUAGAAUUUGGUGAUUGAUGAUUAUUGUUGGAUCGAGUUUAAUGCUCUGAUACCAUGAAGGAUUUUGAAGAUUCAGCUAUGCAGAAUCGAAGAAAAUAGAUGACUGAAGAGUUAGAGAAAUUUUCUGUGUCUUCAUUCAAUUAUUUGUACAUAUGUAUAUAUAUACAAUUGAGUAUUGAAUAGUAUAUAAAGAAAAAGAAAAUACUAUUUACACUUGUCCUA